CAAUAGCGUAUAUUAAAGUUGUUGCAGUUAAAAAGCUCGUAGUUGGACUUGUGGAUAGAGCGAUCGGCCCGACACAAUGUGUGGGUGCUGGAUUGUCUCUGUCCAUCCUUGGGUGGAAUCUGUGUGGCAUUAGGUUGUCGUGCAGGGGAUGCCCAUCAUUUACUGUGAAAAAAUUAGAGUGUUCAAAGCAGGCUUACGCCGUUGAAUAUAUUAGCAUGGAAUAAUGAGAUAGGACCUGGGUACUAUUUUGUUGGUUUGUGCACCUAGGUAAUGAUUAAUAGGGACAAUUGGGGGCAUUCGUAUUCCAUUGUAAGAGGUGAAAUUCUUGGAUUUCUGGAAGACGAACUACUGCGAAAGCAUUUGCCAAGGAUGUUUUCAUUAA
This 382-nucleotide ribosomal RNA is filed under the name uncultured eukaryote. RNAcentral describes it as "partial 18S ribosomal RNA". It matches the Rfam family "Eukaryotic small subunit ribosomal RNA", at positions 592 to 976 of the family's 1831-position model. The record is from RNAcentral.